Molecule: ribosomal RNA, 253 nt
Filed under: uncultured bacterium
Lineage: Bacteria
Description: partial 16S ribosomal RNA
Rfam family: Bacterial small subunit ribosomal RNA
Source: RNAcentral
UACAGAGGUUCCGAGCGUUAUGCGGAAUCACUGGGCUUAAAGCGUGUGUAGGCGGACCGUUAAGUGUCUUGUGAAAUCCCCCGGCUCAACCGGGGAAUUGCUGGGCAUACUGGCGGUCUUGAGCAGUCUAGGGGCAGAUGGAACAAGUGGUGGAGCGGUGAAAUGCGUAGAUAUCACUUGGAACGCCAAAGGUGAAGACAGUCUGCUGGGGACUUGCUGACGCUGAGACACGAAAGCCAGGGGAGCGAACGGG